AACAUCGCGCACCUGCGGGAACCUGCGGAAGGAUCAUUACAGAGUUGCAAAACUCCCUAAACCAUUGUGAACGUUACCUAAACCGUUGCUUCGGCGGGCGGCCCGGGUCCUUCCCGGCGCCCAUCGGCCCUCGCGGGCGCCCGCCGGAGGUAAACCAAACCAUUGCAUUGUAUGGCCUCUCUGAGUCUUCUGUACUGAAUAAGUCAAAACUUUCAACAAUGGAUCUCAGAUCGGAAGAGC
This 240-nucleotide unclassified non-coding RNA is filed under the name soil metagenome. Its description in RNAcentral is "partial contains 5.8S ribosomal RNA, internal transcribed spacer 2, and large subunit ribosomal RNA". The record is from RNAcentral.